This is a long non-coding RNA of Manduca sexta (tobacco hornworm), 768 nucleotides long. RefSeq lists it as uncharacterized. Lineage: Eukaryota; Metazoa; Arthropoda; Insecta; Lepidoptera; Sphingidae. The transcript is spliced from 3 exons. The record is from RefSeq and is a predicted model, not a curated record.
UUUUUGUGACUACAUUUUUUUUUACUGAAUCAAGAGAGAAUCAAAGUUAUAUAAUGAUUUGUGUACGUUUAUAUAACAAAAAACACUACUUUACAAUAUGUCUAUUGUUACAGAGUUUGGCUGAUGUAAUAAUCUUAACGUAUUACGUAAAAAUUACGAUCCAACACAAACAUACUAUUUCUGCGCCCCAUUUGUAAUUUUGGUGUAAAUAUAACAGAAAUCAAAUAUUGACCUUCAAGAAACGUGAACUCUUAUUGAUCUUAGUCACACAUCUUGUACAAAGACUUAGACAUAGUUAUAAGCAGCAGUGACGAAGGUUGAAGUUUUCCCAAAAGUAGCCCGAUACAACACAGCACACGCGUCGGUACAACGGGUUUGGAGUGGCGUUGGAGGCUAUUUUUAGCCGGCGCUUGUCAAUAAACGCUCGUCGUUUUAUCGCGGAAGGGCACCGCAGCCGGAUGGGGAUCAAGGAAACGGUUUUGAGUGCGAACACGAUGAGAGGCGGAGCGGUGCGGUAGCGAGAGCAAUUAGUAUUGAUUUUUAUUUAAUUAGUAUCUAAUUAUUGCUGAGGUUUAUAGUUUAAAUUUAACUCUAAAUAUCAAUUUAUUUGAGUGCAGGAGAGGAAUUCUUCUGAUUUAUUAGAAGUUAAUGAGACAAUACUAACAUGUAACGUUAAAUAGCUUAACAAGUAAGGGUCUUAAAACACAAGUUAAUGUUGUCUAUUUGCGGUCGAUGUUUCUAUCCAGCGAAUAAAUGUUUGUAAAUAUA